This 253-nucleotide ribosomal RNA is filed under the name uncultured bacterium. Its description in RNAcentral is "partial 16S ribosomal RNA". It matches the Rfam family "Bacterial small subunit ribosomal RNA", at positions 524 to 776 of the family's 1533-position model. The record is from RNAcentral.
UACGGAGGGUGCGAGCGUUGUCCGGAAUCACUGGGCGUAAAGGGCGCGUAGGCGGCGCGGGAAGUCCGUGGUGAAAGCCCGAGGCUCAACUUCGGGUCGGCCAUGGAUACUCCUGGGCUUGAGCACUGUAGAGGCAGGUGGAAUUCCGGGUGUAGCGGUGGAAUGCGUAGAGAUCCGGAAGAACACCGGUGGCGAAGGCGGCCUGCUGGGCAGUAGCUGACGCUGAGGCGCGACAGCGUGGGGAGCGAACAGG